Molecule: non-coding RNA, 426 nt
Organism: Rattus norvegicus (Norway rat)
Lineage: Eukaryota; Metazoa; Chordata; Mammalia; Rodentia; Muridae
Source: RefSeq, a predicted model, not a curated record
GAAAGAAUGCUGUGCCCAUGAUAUAGUCAGCAAAGCAAUGUCAGCAGAGGGAUGUACUCUAGGAUUCCAUGCAAGAUCAUGCUGAAGCCAAUAAGACAAACCAGAAUCUUCCCGGGGGAUACCUCUGUCCAGGACAACAGAGCCAGGUUACCAGGUCCAAGGAGCUGACUGUAAAGAGUUGGCCAGCUGAACCAGGACCAUUUGUUGAAAAUGCUGUCUUUAGGCAGUCAGGACUGAGAUGAAGUCUAUGGAGAGCUUGGCAGAAGAGCUGGGCUGGAAGGACAGGCUGGGUGAGAGCCACACAGGGAAGAUCCAGGACCCCUGCUGAUGUCACUCUCAGCUGUGAGCAGCCAACUUUCCCAGGGACAAUGUGGGACUGAGUGGCCCAGCCACCCUGCUGCCACUGCUGCCCCAGAUCUGCAGAAC